Molecule: ribosomal RNA, 470 nt
Filed under: uncultured bacterium
Lineage: Bacteria
Description: bacterial SSU rRNA
Rfam family: Bacterial small subunit ribosomal RNA
Source: RNAcentral
GAAUCUGACGGAAGGGAAGAACAAAUGUGUAAGUAACUGUGCACCUCUUGACGGUACCUAAUCAGAAAGCCACGGCUAACUACGUGCCAACAGCCGCGGUAAUACGUAGGUGGCAAGCGUUAUCCGGAAUUAUUGGGCGUAAAGCGCGCGUAGGCGGUUUUUUAAGUCUGAUGUGAAAGCCCACGGCUCAACCGUGGAGGGUCAUUGGAAACUGGAAAACUUGAGUGCAGAAGAGGAAAGUGGAAUUCCAUGUGUAGCGGUGAAAUGCGCAAAGAUAUGGAGGAACACCAGUGGCGAAGGCGACUUUCUGGUCUGUAACUGACGCUGAUGUGCGAAAGCGUGGGGAUCAAACAGGAUUAAAUACCCUGGUAGUCCACGCCGUAAACGAUGAGUGCUAAGUGUUAGGGGGUUUCCGCCCCUUAGUGCUGCAGCUAACGCAUUAAGCACUCCGCCUGGGGAGUACGACCGCG